RNAcentral lists this ribosomal RNA (253 nucleotides) under uncultured bacterium. RNAcentral's name for it is "partial 16S ribosomal RNA". It matches the Rfam family "Bacterial small subunit ribosomal RNA", at positions 524 to 776 of the family's 1533-position model. The record is from RNAcentral.
UACGGGGGGGGCAAGCGUUGUUCGGAAUUACUGGGCGUAAAGGGCUCGUAGGCGGCCAACUAAGUCAUGCGUGAAAUCCCUCGGCUUAACCGGGGAACUGCGUCUGAUACUGGAUGGCUUGAGUGUGGGAGAGGGAUGCGGAAUUCCGGGUGUAGCGGUGAAAUGCGUAGAUAUCUGGAGGAACACCGGUGGCGAAGGCGGCGAUCUGGGUCGAUACUGACGCUGAGGUGCGAAAGCGUGGGGAGCAAACAGG